RNAcentral lists this ribosomal RNA (269 nucleotides) under uncultured Synechococcus sp. Its description in RNAcentral is "partial 16S ribosomal RNA". It matches the Rfam family "Bacterial small subunit ribosomal RNA", at positions 356 to 634 of the family's 1533-position model. The record is from RNAcentral. Lineage: Bacteria; Bacillati; Cyanobacteriota; Cyanophyceae; Synechococcales; Synechococcaceae.
GGGAAAUUUUCCACAAUGGCCAAUAACGCCUCACAGAGCUUCGCCGCGUGCGGGAGAAAAGCCUGUCGGGUUGUACCCUCUUUUCUCAGGGAAGAUAAUGACGGUACCUGAGGAAUCAGCAUCGGCUAACUCCGUGCCAGCACCCGCGGUAAUCCGGGGAAUCGCGAGCGUUAUCCGCAAUUAUUGGGCGUAAAGCGCCCGUAGCGCGCGCUAAGCAAGUCUCGCUGGAAAAGGCCCGGGCUUACACCCUGAUAUGUGCAUGUGGGAUU